This 406-nucleotide ribosomal RNA is filed under the name uncultured bacterium. Its description in RNAcentral is "bacterial SSU rRNA". It matches the Rfam family "Bacterial small subunit ribosomal RNA", at positions 355 to 776 of the family's 1533-position model. The record is from RNAcentral.
UCAAGAAUAUUCCUCAAUGGCCGAAAGGCUGAAGGAGCGACGCCGCGUGUAGGAUGAAGGUCUUCGGAUUGUAAACUACUUUUACAUGGGAAGAAUUUGUGACGGUACCAUGUGAAUAAGAGGUUGCUAACUCUGUGCCAGCAGCAGCGGUAAUACAGAGACCUCAAGCGUUAUCCGGAUUUAUUGGGCGUAAAGCGUCCGCAGGUGGCUCAGCGGGUCAGGGGUUAAAACUUACUGCUCAACGGUAAGACUGCUCCUGAAACUACUAAGCUAGAGUAUGGAAGAGGUGAGCGGAAUUCUCGGUGUAGUCGUAAUAAGCGUUGAUAUCGAGAAGAACACCAAAUGCGAAGGCAGCUCACUGGUACAUUACUGACACUCAGGGACGAAAGCGUGGGGAGCAAACAGG